This 497-nucleotide ribosomal RNA is filed under the name uncultured bacterium. Its description in RNAcentral is "partial 16S ribosomal RNA". It matches the Rfam family "Bacterial small subunit ribosomal RNA", at positions 28 to 507 of the family's 1533-position model. The record is from RNAcentral.
GAUGAACGCUGGCGGCGUGCCUAAUACAUGCAAGUCGAGCGAACAGACGAGGAGCUUGCUCCUCUGACGUUAGCGGCGGACGGGUGAGUAACACGUGGAUAACCUACCUAUAAGACUGGGAUAACUUCGGGAAACCGGAGCUAAUACCGGAUAAUAUAUUGAACCGCAUGGUUCAAUAGUGAAAGACGGUUUUGCUGUCACUUAUAGAUGGAUCCGCGCCGCAUUAGCUAGUUGGUAAGGUAGCGGCUUACCAAGGCAACGAUGCGUAGCCGACCUGAGGGGGUGAUCGGCCACACUGGAACUGAGACACGGUCCAGACUCCUACGGGAGGCAGCAGUAGGGAAUCUUCCGCAAUGGGCGAAAGCCUGACGGAGCAACGCCGCGUGAGUGAUGAAGGUCUUCGGAUCGUAAAACUCUGUUAUUAGGGAAGAACAAAUGUGUAAGUAACUAUGCACGUCUUGACGGUACCUAAUCAGAAAGCCACGGCUAACUACGUG